RNAcentral lists this transfer RNA (70 nucleotides) under Acropyga kinomurai. RNAcentral describes it as "tRNA-Trp". Lineage: Eukaryota; Metazoa; Arthropoda; Insecta; Hymenoptera; Formicidae. The record is from RNAcentral.
AAGAUUUUAAGUUAAAAAAACUAUAAACCUUCAAAGUUUAAAAAAUAAAUAAAAAUUUUUAUAAAUCUUA